UACAGAGGCCUCAAGCGUUAGGCGGAAUCACUGGGCUUAAAGCGUGUGUAGGCGGAUCGUUAAGUGUCUUGUGAAAUCCCACGGCUCACCCGUGGAACUGCUGGGCAUACUGGCGAUCUUGGGCCAACUAGGGGCAACUGGAACAAGCGGUGGAGCGGCGAAAUGCGUAGAUAUCGCGUGGAACGCCGAAGGUGAAAACAGGUUGCUGGGGUUGUGCCGACGCUGAGACACGAAAGCCAGGGGAGCAAACAGG
This 253-nucleotide ribosomal RNA is filed under the name uncultured bacterium. Its description in RNAcentral is "partial 16S ribosomal RNA". It matches the Rfam family "Bacterial small subunit ribosomal RNA", at positions 524 to 776 of the family's 1533-position model. The record is from RNAcentral.